AGAAUCAACGCUGGCGGCGUGCCUAACACAUGCAAGUCGAACGAGAAAGUGGAGCAAUCCACGAGUAAAGUGGCGCACGGGUGAGUAACACGUGACUACCUACCCUUGAGUGGGGGGAUAACCUAGGGAAACCUGGGCUAAUACCGCAUAACACCUACGGGUCAAAGGAGCAAUCCGCUUAAGGAGGGGGUCGCGGCCGAUUAGUUAGUUGGCGGGGUAAUGGCCCACCAAGACGAUGAUCGGUAUCC
Molecule: ribosomal RNA, 248 nt
Filed under: uncultured bacterium
Lineage: Bacteria
Description: partial small subunit ribosomal RNA
Rfam family: Bacterial small subunit ribosomal RNA
Source: RNAcentral